CAGUAGCCGCGGGAAAACGUAGGGUGCGAGCGUUAAUCGGAAUUACUGGGCGUAAAGCGUGCGCAGGCGGUUCGGAAAGAGAGAUGUGAAAUCCCAGGGCUUAACCUUGGAACUGCAUUCUUAACUACCGGACUAGAGUGUGUCAGAGGGAGGUGGAAUUCCGCGUGUAGCAGUGAAAUGCGUAGAGAUGCGGAGGAACACCGAUGGCGAAGGCAGCCUCCUGGGAUAACACUGACGCUCAUGCACGAAAGCGUGGGGAGCAAAUAGGAUUAGAUACCCCAGUAGUCCCUGUCUCUUAUAC
RNAcentral lists this ribosomal RNA (301 nucleotides) under uncultured bacterium. Its description in RNAcentral is "partial 16S ribosomal RNA". It matches the Rfam family "Bacterial small subunit ribosomal RNA", at positions 509 to 807 of the family's 1533-position model. The record is from RNAcentral.